CUACGGAGGGUGCAAGCGUUACUCGGAAUCACUGGGCGUAAAGCGCGCGCAGGCGGCUAUUUAAGUUGGAUGUGAAAGCCUACGGCUCAACCGUAGAACUGCAUCCAAAACUAUUUAGCUAGAGUGUGGGAGUGGAAGAUGGAAUUAGUUGUGUAGGGGUAAAAUCCGUAGAGAUAACUAGGAAUACCAAAAGCGAAGGCAAUCUUCUGGAACACUACUGACGCUGAGGCGCGAAAGCGUGGGGAGCAAACAGAAUUAGAAACCCCAGUAGUCC
This 274-nucleotide ribosomal RNA is filed under the name uncultured bacterium. RNAcentral describes it as "partial 16S ribosomal RNA". It matches the Rfam family "Bacterial small subunit ribosomal RNA", at positions 523 to 796 of the family's 1533-position model. The record is from RNAcentral.